AAAACGACUCUCGGCAACGGAUAUCUCGGCUCUCGCAUCGAUGAAGAACGUAGCGAAAUGCGAUACUUGGUGUGAAUUGCAGAAUCCCGUGAACCAUCGAGUCUUUGAACGCAAGUUGCGCCCCAAGCCUUUGGGCCGAGGGCACGUCUGCCUGGGUGUCACGC
Molecule: ribosomal RNA, 164 nt
Filed under: Gnidia denudata
Lineage: Eukaryota; Viridiplantae; Streptophyta; Magnoliopsida; Malvales; Thymelaeaceae
Description: 5.8S ribosomal RNA
Rfam family: 5.8S ribosomal RNA
About the family: 5.8S ribosomal RNA (5.8S rRNA) is a component of the large subunit of the eukaryotic ribosome. It is transcribed by RNA polymerase I as part of the 45S precursor that also contains 18S and 28S rRNA.
Source: RNAcentral